RNAcentral lists this ribosomal RNA (633 nucleotides) under Enterococcus faecalis. RNAcentral describes it as "bacterial SSU rRNA". It matches the Rfam family "Bacterial small subunit ribosomal RNA", at positions 900 to 1533 of the family's 1533-position model. The record is from RNAcentral. Lineage: Bacteria; Bacillati; Bacillota; Bacilli; Lactobacillales; Enterococcaceae.
CUCAAAGGAAUUGACGGGGGCCCGCACAAGCGGUGGAGCAUGUGGUUUAAUUCGAAGCAACGCGAAGAACCUUACCAGGUCUUGACAUCCUUUGACCACUCUAGAGAUAGAGCUUUCCCUUCGGGGACAAAGUGACAGGUGGUGCAUGGUUGUCGUCAGCUCGUGUCGUGAGAUGUUGGGUUAAGUCCCGCAACGAGCGCAACCCUUAUUGUUAGUUGCCAUCAUUUAGUUGGGCACUCUAGCGAGACUGCCGGUGACAAACCGGAGGAAGGUGGGGAUGACGUCAAAUCAUCAUGCCCCUUAUGACCUGGGCUACACACGUGCUACAAUGGGAAGUACAACGAGUCGCUAGACCGCGAGGUCAUGCAAAUCUCUUAAAGCUUCUCUCAGUUCGGAUUGCAGGCUGCAACUCGCCUGCAUGAAGCCGGAAUCGCUAGUAAUCGCGGAUCAGCACGCCGCGGUGAAUACGUUCCCGGGCCUUGUACACACCGCCCGUCACACCACGAGAGUUUGUAACACCCGAAGUCGGUGAGGUAACCUUUUUGGAGCCAGCCGCCUAAGGUGGGAUAGAUGAUUGGGGUGAAGUCGUAACAAGGUAGCCGUAUCGGAAGGUGCGGCUGGAUCACCUCCUUU